Molecule: ribosomal RNA, 275 nt
Filed under: uncultured bacterium
Lineage: Bacteria
Description: partial 16S ribosomal RNA
Rfam family: Bacterial small subunit ribosomal RNA
Source: RNAcentral
AACGAACGCUGGCGGCGUGGAUAAGACAUGCAAGUCGAACGCUUAUUUCGGUGUAGCAAUACAACGGAGUAGGAGUGGCGCAAGGGUGCGUAACACGUGGGUAAUUUGCCGUGAAGUCCGGGAGUAACUUGCUGAAAGGCGAGCUAAUACCGGAUGUGGAAAUUGGAAGGCAUCUUUUGAUUUCUGAAGUUGGGGACCGCAAGGCCCGACGCUUUACGAUAAGCCCGCGGCCCUAUCAGCUAGUUGGUGAGGUAACGGCUCACCAAGGCUAAGAC